UGGGGUCACACAAUAAAGAAAUUAGUUCUGAAAUAAGCAAUUGAGCUUAUGAAGUGUUAAUUGAGUUUAAAAAAACUUGAUUGGGUUCAAGAUAACCUUGCUAGCAAUGGUUGGACCCAAUUUUUUCUUCAUGUUUGAUUUUUUUAUUUAAUAAGAUAAUUUAAACUUAAUUAUUUGCUAAUAAUCAAAAUAAAUUAGAUUUAUUAGACUCUAAUUAUUGGG
Molecule: long non-coding RNA, 222 nt
Filed under: Elaeis guineensis (African oil palm)
Lineage: Eukaryota; Viridiplantae; Streptophyta; Magnoliopsida; Arecales; Arecaceae
Description: long non-coding RNA (EGUI_LNC057330)
Source: RNAcentral